GGAUGUGAGGGCAAUCUGGCUGUGACAUCUGUCACCCCAUUGAUCGCUAGGGUUGAUUCAGUUGAUCUGGCUGGCUAGGUGGGUGUCCCCUUCCUCCCUCGCCACUCCAUGUGUGUCCCUCCCAAAGCUGCAAGCUAGGUGGAAGAGGACAACCUUCCCUGCUAGAGAAGGACUGUUCUUUGGUCAAGGGUAUACGAGUAACUGCGCUCCCCUGCUAGAACCUCCAAACAAGUUCCCAAUUAAAUGUACUGGAUGUGUAUAAUUUUUAAAAAAUCAUACAAUAACUAUUAGCUUUUUAAAAUAAUUAGGGCGAGAUUUACU
RNAcentral lists this small nuclear RNA (321 nucleotides) under Dasypus novemcinctus (nine-banded armadillo). RNAcentral describes it as "7SK RNA (ENSDNOG00000029113.1)". It matches the Rfam family "7SK RNA". Rfam says of the family: 7SK was discovered as an abundant small nuclear RNA in the mid-70s but a possible function has only recently been suggested. The record is from RNAcentral. Lineage: Eukaryota; Metazoa; Chordata; Mammalia; Cingulata; Dasypodidae.